Trichonephila clavipes is the source of this 73-nucleotide non-coding RNA. NCBI's taxonomy places the organism in Eukaryota, Metazoa, Arthropoda, Arachnida, Araneae, Nephilidae. The record is from the annotation of a GenBank genome assembly.
GUCCCUGUAGCGCAAUGGAUAGCGCGUUGGACUUCUAAUCCAAAGGUCGUGGGUUCGAAUCCGAAAAGGGAUG